CAGAGGCAUUCCCUAGUAGCGGCGAGCGAGCGGGAAGAGCUCAAAUUUAUAAUCUGGCACCUUCGGUGUCCGAGUUGUAAUCUCUAGAAAUGUUUUCCGCGUUGGACCGCACACAAGUCUGUUGGAAUACAGCGGCAUAGUGGUGAGACCCCCGUAUAUGGUGCGGACGCCCAGCGCUUUGUGAUACAUUUUCGAAGAGUCGAGUUGUUUGGGAAUGCAGCUCAAAUUGGGUGGUAAAUUCCAUCUAAAGCUAAAUAUUGGCGAGAGACCGAUAGCGAACAAGUACCGUGAGGGAAAGAUGAAAAGCACUUUGGAAAGAGAGUUAACAGUACGUGAAAUUGUUGGAAGGGAAACGCUUGAAGUCAGACUUGCUUGCCGAGCAAUCGGUUUGCAGGCCAGCAUCAGUUUUCCGGGAUGGAUAAUGGUAGAGAGAAGGUAGCAGUUUCGGCUGUGUUAUAGCUCUCUGCUGGAUACAUCUUGGGGGACUGAGGAACGCAGUGUGCCUUUGGCGGGGGUUUCGACCUCUUCACACUUAGGAUGCUGGUGGAAUGGCUUUAAACGACCCGUCUUGAAACCACCGGACCCCAAAAC
This 591-nucleotide ribosomal RNA is filed under the name Rhodotorula mucilaginosa. Its description in RNAcentral is "eukaryotic LSU rRNA". It matches the Rfam family "Eukaryotic large subunit ribosomal RNA", at positions 67 to 664 of the family's 3401-position model. Lineage: Eukaryota; Fungi; Basidiomycota; Microbotryomycetes; Sporidiobolales; Sporidiobolaceae. The record is from RNAcentral.